This 76-nucleotide transfer RNA is filed under the name Rubrivirga marina. RNAcentral describes it as "tRNA-Phe". It matches the Rfam family "tRNA". From Rfam's summary of the family: Transfer RNA (tRNA) molecules are approximately 80 nucleotides in length. Their secondary structure includes four short double-helical elements and three loops (D, anti-codon, and T loops). The record is from RNAcentral. Lineage: Bacteria; Pseudomonadati; Rhodothermota; Rhodothermia; Rhodothermales; Rubricoccaceae.
GGUCGAGUAGCUCAGUUGGUAGAGCAACGGACUGAAAAUCCGUGUGUCGGCGGUUCAAGUCCGCCCUCGACCACCC